GACGAACGCUGGCGGCGUGCCUAAUACAUGCCAGUAGAACGCACAGUUUAUACCGUAGCUUGCUUCACCAUAAACUGUGAGUUGCGAACGGGUGAGUCACGCGUAUGUAACCUGCCUGGUAGCGGGGGAUAACUAUUGUAAACGAUAGCUAAUACCGCAUAAUAUUAAUUAUUGCAUGAUACUUGAUUGAAAGAUGCAAUUGCAUCACUACCAGAUGGUCCUGCUUUGUAUUAGCUAGUAGGUGAGGUAACGGCUCACCUAGGCGGCGGUACAUAGCCGAGCUGAGAGGGUGAACGAGCAAAAUGGGACUGGGAAAAGGCUCAGACUCCUAACGGGGGGAGCAAGAGGGAAACAUCGGCAAUGGGGGGAAGUCUGACCGAGGAACGCCGGGGGAGGGAAGAAGGUUUUCGGAGCGUAAAGCUCUGUUGGAAGAGAAAGAAGGGUGUGAGAGUGGAAAGUUCACGCUGUGACGGUAUCUUAACAGAAAGGAACGGCUAACUACGUG
RNAcentral lists this ribosomal RNA (505 nucleotides) under uncultured bacterium. RNAcentral's name for it is "partial 16S ribosomal RNA". It matches the Rfam family "Bacterial small subunit ribosomal RNA", at positions 28 to 507 of the family's 1533-position model. The record is from RNAcentral.